RNAcentral lists this ribosomal RNA (798 nucleotides) under Acinetobacter sp. INBio2891D. RNAcentral's name for it is "bacterial SSU rRNA". It matches the Rfam family "Bacterial small subunit ribosomal RNA", at positions 55 to 847 of the family's 1533-position model. Lineage: Bacteria; Pseudomonadati; Pseudomonadota; Gammaproteobacteria; Moraxellales; Moraxellaceae. The record is from RNAcentral.
AUGCAGUUCGAGCGGAGAGAGGUAGCUUGCUACUGAUCUUAGCGGCGGACGGGUGAGUAAUGCUUAGGAAUCUGCCUAUUAGUGGGGGACAACAUUUCGAAAGGAAUGCUAAUACCGCAUACGUCCUACGGGAGAAAGCAGGGGAUCUUCGGACCUUGCGCUAAUAGAUGAGCCUAAGUCGGAUUAGCUAGUUGGUGGGGUAAAGGCCUACCAAGGCGACGAUCUGUAGCGGGUCUGAGAGGAUGAUCCGCCACACUGGGACUGAGACACGGCCCAGACUCCUACGGGAGGCAGCAGUGGGGAAUAUUGGACAAUGGGCGCAAGCCUGAUCCAGCCAUGCCGCGUGUGUGAAGAAGGCCUUAUGGUUGUAAAGCACUUUAAGCGAGGAGGAGGCUACUUUAGUUAAUACCUAGAGAUAGUGGACGUUACUCGCAGAAUAAGCACCGGCUAACUCUGUGCCAGCAGCCGCGGUAAUACAGAGGGUGCAAGCGUUAAUCGGAUUUACUGGGCGUAAAGCGCGCGUAGGCGGCUAAUUAAGUCAAAUGUGAAAUCCCCGAGCUUAACUUGGGAAUUGCAUUCGAUACUGGUUAGCUAGAGUGUGGGAGAGGAUGGUAGAAUUCCAGGUGUAGCGGUGAAAUGCGUAGAGAUCUGGAGGAAUACCGAUGGCGAAGGCAGCCAUCUGGCCUAACACUGACGCUGAGGUGCGAAAGCAUGGGGAGCAAACAGGAUUAGAUACCCUGGUAGUCCAUGCCGUAAACGAUGUCUACUAGCCGUUGGGGCCUUUGAGGCUUUAGUGGC